RNAcentral lists this ribosomal RNA (1250 nucleotides) under gut metagenome. RNAcentral describes it as "bacterial SSU rRNA". It matches the Rfam family "Bacterial small subunit ribosomal RNA", at positions 248 to 1520 of the family's 1533-position model. The record is from RNAcentral.
GUUGGUAAGGUAACGGCUUACCAAGGCGACGAUCAGUAGCCGGACUGAGAGGUUGAUCGGCCACAUUGGGACUGAGACACGGCCCAGACUCCUACGGGAGGCAGCAGUGGGGAAUAUUGCACAAUGGAGGAAACUCUGAUGCAGCGAUGCCGCGUGAGGGAAGAAGGUUUUAGGAUUGUAAACCUCUGUCUUCAGGGACGAAAAAAGACGGUACCUGAGGAGGAAGCUCCGGCUAACUACGUGCCAGCAGCCGCGGUAAUACGUAGGGAGCGAGCGUUGUCCGGAAUUACUGGGUGUAAAGGGAGCGUAGGCGGGAUCGCAAGUCAGAUGUGAAAACUAUGGGCUUAACCCAUAAACUGCAUUUGAAACUGUGGUUCUUGAGUGAAGUAGAGGUAAGCGGAAUUCCUAGUGUAGCGGUGAAAUGCGUAGAUAUUAGGAGGAACAUCAGUGGCGAAGGCGGCUUACUGGGCUUUAACUGACGCUGAGGCUCGAAAGCGUGGGGAGCAAACAGGAUUAGAUACCCUGGUAGUCCACGCCGUAAACGAUGAUUACUAGGUGUGGGGGGACUGACCCCUUCCGUGCCGCAGCAAACGCAAUAAGUAAUCCACCUGGGGAGUACGACCGCAAGGUUGAAACUCAAAGGAAUUGACGGGGGCCCGCACAAGCAGUGGAGUAUGUGGAUUAAUUCGAAGCAACGCGAAGAACCUUACCAGGUCUUGACAUCGUAUGCAUAGCUCAGAGAUGAGUGAAAUCUCUUCGGAGACAUAUAGACAGGUGGUGCAUGGUUGUCGUCAGCUCGUGUCGUGAGAUGUUGGGUUAAGUCCCGCAACGAGCGCAACCCUUACUGUUAGUUGCUACGCAAGAGCACUCUAGCAGGACUGCCGUUGACAAAACGGAGGAAGGUGGGGAUGACGUCAAAUCAUCAUGCCCCUUAUGACCUGGGCCUCACACGUACUACAAUGGCUGUCAACAGAGGGAUGCAAAGCCGCGAGGUGGAGCGAACCCCUAAAAGCAGUCUUAGUUCGGAUUGUAGGCUGCAACCCGCCUACAUGAAGUCGGAAUUGCUAGUAAUCGCAGAUCAGCAUGCUGCGGUGAAUACGUUCCCGGGCCUUGUACACACCGCCCGUCACGCCAUGGGAGUCGGUAACACCCGAAGCCUGUAGUCUAACCGCAAGGAGGACGCAGUCGAAGGUGGGAUUGAUGACUGGGGUGAAGUCGUAACAAGGUAGCCGUAUCGGAAGGUGCGGCUG